This 1223-nucleotide long non-coding RNA is filed under the name Homo sapiens (human). Its description in RNAcentral is "non-protein coding lnc-TMEM255B-6:2". Lineage: Eukaryota; Metazoa; Chordata; Mammalia; Primates; Hominidae. The record is from RNAcentral.
GAUGAUGCUGUCAGUGGCCGAAGCUGCAUUCUGGCAACUCCAGAUCCUGGGUGACUUUGCCUAGCUCUGCCCGGCCUGGUGUUGCAGGAAAUACGCUAAUUCCAGGCACGGAAGCUGGGAGUGCAUCCGGUCUGGGGAGACUUUGCCUUUCUAAGAGGCUCUCAGUGCUGUUGAUGGUGCACAUUCGACCUUUGAGACUUGGAGAAAUCAGAUUGCAGAAAUGAUGCAGAGCACCUGAGCAGAACCAAUCUGGCGUGAGACACACACGCACACACACACACAAUCAGGCGCACCCACCCACACAUAUACACACACAGGUACACAGUCGUGCACCCAUCCACAUACGUGCAGUCAUGCACACAGCCCUGCACACAGACCUACACAUACACAUGCGUGCACACAGACAUGCACACACACAGUAGGGGCCCUAAGCAGGCGUCCUUAGCCUUUCUGCUCUGAGCUCUGCAGCAUCAGAACCUGCUGCCAUAACUGAGCCAAGUGAACUCCUGAAGCAGGAGCAUCCCCGGGCGUGGCAGGGGAGCGCCCACCACCAAGAUUCUGCUGCUGUGCUCGGGGGCAGUUGUGCCUUUUCUGUUUUUCUUUCUUUCUAUAUUUCCAGGAAAUCAUGACAUUAAAAAUGACUUUUUCUUAUGACGAAUAUUCAUUGUAGGAUAUUUAGUGAAAAUUCACACAAUAAAAACUGUGAUUCGUUUGUGCUCUCCGAGUUUCUGGGUUUCCUUGCAUUUUUCUGGCAGCUUCUAUUCUCUCUGGGUGCUUCCGAUGCACACAUCGCAGAUCCCAGGAUGAUCUUCCUGCCUGGCACGGCUGCCUCCUCCACGCCACCCCUCAUUACCUGUGGUCUAGGAAGACCACCAGUUCCCAUUCCAAGCUGCCCAAAUAGCUGCGAAAUAUCUGCUGAAGUAAGAGGAAAAGGAGAGGCUCUUCCUUCUUCCUUUGAAUUUUGUCACCGGGCUGCUGAAGAGAAGGCAGCAGAGGUGACACAGCGUGAAGCUGAGGCUGGGUUGCAGAAGGUGCCACAGACUCCACCCGGCUCUCUCUCUUGCCCAACGUUCCUGGGAGUCCAGCCCCCAUGUCAUGAGGAAGCCCACGUCACCUGGAGAGGUUACAGGCACAGCCACAGUCAGCCACGCGCCAGUCCUGGGAGCCACCCUAGCUCACCCUGAGUGGAGCAGAGGCAGGGUGUCCACUCCUGGCCUUGCCCA